GACGAACGCUGGCGGCGUGCUUAACACAUGCAAGUCGAACGAGGCCCCUUCUUCGGGAGGGUGUUCUAGUGGCGAACGGGUGAGUAACACGUGGGCAACCUGCCCCCGGCUCUGGGAUAACUCCAAGAAAUUGGGGCUAAUACCGGAUAUGACCGCUGGCCGCAUGGUCUGGUGGUGGAAAGUUUUUUCGGCUGGGGAUGGGCCCGCGGCCUAUCAGCUUGUUGGUGGGGUAUGGCCUACCAAGGCGACGACGGGUAGCCGGCCUGAGAGGGUGACCGGCCACACUGGGACUGAGACACGGCCCAGACUCCUACGGGAGGCAGCAGU
RNAcentral lists this ribosomal RNA (327 nucleotides) under uncultured bacterium. Its description in RNAcentral is "bacterial SSU rRNA". It matches the Rfam family "Bacterial small subunit ribosomal RNA", at positions 28 to 355 of the family's 1533-position model. The record is from RNAcentral.